RNAcentral lists this transfer RNA (73 nucleotides) under Sus scrofa (pig). It matches the Rfam family "tRNA". From Rfam's summary of the family: Transfer RNA (tRNA) molecules are approximately 80 nucleotides in length. Their secondary structure includes four short double-helical elements and three loops (D, anti-codon, and T loops). The record is from Rfam by way of RNAcentral. Lineage: Eukaryota; Metazoa; Chordata; Mammalia; Artiodactyla; Suidae.
UCCUGGGUGGCCUAGUGGUUAAGGAUCUGGCACUGUCAUUGCUGUGAUGCAGGUUUGAUCCCUGGUCCAGGAA